This 299-nucleotide long non-coding RNA is filed under the name Rattus norvegicus (Norway rat). RNAcentral's name for it is "long non-coding RNA NONRATT006514". The record is from RNAcentral. Lineage: Eukaryota; Metazoa; Chordata; Mammalia; Rodentia; Muridae.
CACCCUAGUCAAUAUGUGAAAUGUAUAGAUAUACUCAUCUUUAAGUUUCUAGAGAAAAUCAAAACACAGUGGACCCUUUUAGGCUGCUUCAUCGUCGGCCUUUUACAUGAAUUGGAACAAAAAAAACUAGAUGCAUUCUUUGGCCACCAGUUGUCCCAGGAAAUAAAACAUCAGUUCUAUCAGUGCUUGGAAACCAUAAGAGGCAAUGGAGAGCUUCAAGAACAGAUAGAUGGCAUGAAGUUGUUUUACUGUCUGUUUGAGAUGGAGGAUGAAGCCUUCUUAGUACAAGCAAUGAACUG